UAUUCCCCUCCAUUAAUUGCAAGAGGCGUUAAUUGGGUGCGGGAGAGAAAACGACCAGCUCAUCCAACGCCGCCGCCGCCGCCGUCUCCCUCUCGCUCACCUCUCGCCGUACCAAAUCGACGCUGCCGCCCUCCGCUUCGAGCUCCGGACCGGCCCCCACCCAACUCCACCCACCGCCGUCCUACGAUUCGACCUCCGUGGACUCAUAUCCAGCCGCCGCAUCCUCGUCUCCCAUCCGCAGCGCCUGGUGCUGGUCGGCCUAGCCAUGGACCUCCACGGGCUGACCUGCUGACCCGCCGGCGGGGACGAGUAGGGCGCCAAGAAUGUGCCUCUCGCCGACGGCUCUUGGCGCGAGGGCCGCAAGAUGGCGACGGGAGCCACAGAGGAAGGGAGGGUGGUGGCCUGCAGCCGCCGCCGCCUGCGGUGUCCCCGGACCUUCUGCUCCCCACGCCAUCCACCUCUCCGUCCCGCUGCUGCCUCCCCAACCUGCACCUGCCAGCACUGGGUUACUGAGCAAAGCAGUGUGAUGGCAGCGAGUUCACCGCGACUGCUAGUGGAAAGUAGUUGAAACCGUGAAUUCUCAUGGCACUCAGUUACUGAGAAAAACAGUGUGAUGGCAGCGAGUUCACCGCGACUGCAAGUGGGAAGUAGGCAAAGCUGUGAAUCCUGAUGACAAAGAGAGGAGAUGCUUCGCUCGCCAACUUGUGAUGACCAUGUACAGUGGCGCCCUCUUGCUGGUGCCAACGACCACCGACGCCGCCAUGGCACAUGCCCAGCUGCUCGAGCCUCCCGCCACUCGGACGUAGAGGUUGAUGGCCUGCUCCUCCAUGAGCAACUCCUCUGCUGGCUCUUAGUCCCAGCCAUGGUCCAAAGUAAGGUGAGGGCUAGAGCUGGGCGUGGACGCGGAUUGCUAUGCA
This is a non-coding RNA of Lolium perenne, 917 nucleotides long. NCBI's taxonomy places the organism in Eukaryota, Viridiplantae, Streptophyta, Magnoliopsida, Poales, Poaceae. The record is from RefSeq and is a predicted model, not a curated record.